RNAcentral lists this ribosomal RNA (399 nucleotides) under uncultured Strombidiidae. RNAcentral's name for it is "partial small subunit ribosomal RNA". It matches the Rfam family "Eukaryotic small subunit ribosomal RNA", at positions 30 to 432 of the family's 1831-position model. The record is from RNAcentral. Lineage: Eukaryota; Ciliophora; Spirotrichea; Strombidiidae.
GCUUGUCUCAAAGAUUAAGCCAUGCAUGUCUAAGUAUAAGUAUUAUACAGCGAAACUGCGAAUGGCUCAUUAAAACAGUUAUAGUUUACAUGAUAAUCGAAUUUACAUGGAUAACCGUGGUAAUUCUAGAGCUAAUACAUGCUGGCGUGCCCGACUUUUGCGGAAGGGCGGUAUUUAUUAGAUCCAACCAGCCCGGUUCGCCGGAGUCCCUGGUGAGUCAUAAUAACUGAGCGAAUCGCAUGGCCUUGUGCCGGCGAUGGUUCAUUCAAGUUUCUGCCCUAUCAGCUUUCGAUGGUAGGGUAUUGGCCUACCAUGGCGUUAACGGGUAACGGAGAAUUAGGGUUCGAUUCCGGAGAGGGAGCCUGAGAAACGGCUACCACAUCCAAGGAAGGCAGCAGG